AAAAAAAAACACAUUCCAGGAAUCCUAGGGAAAGACUGCUGGGUCCAAAGUGCCUCCAGUGCCGAGAAGGGACCUGCUACCCGGGCCCAUGGUGGGAGAGCUGGCCUGGACCACCUCAUCUUCUCAGGCCAGCAGAGGGUCCCUGUCCACUCUCCUUAAAGACAAGGUGCCAUAAUGGGAAGCUGAAUGCAGGGCUGUCAAUCACCAAGGAACAUUUGGAAACGCAGCAGCCACAUAAAAGCUUUCCCUGACUUACCCCCUCUGCUCAACGAAGGAGGGAAGGAAGCUCAAAGAAAUCAUCUUGCAAGCAGUUCAGCAGCAUCAAGCAAAACAUGGGUGGACCUGGCCAUCUGAGGAACGCGGGGAUUGCAAACGCACUGGUGACAGGGCCCCCACGCUCCUGCCUGCCUCAGAACUGAACCUCAGGCAGGCACCCCGCUGUGAAGCCCCCCUGGGGAUUUAACCAGCAAGCCUGUGCCAGGGUGGAGAGCCGCACAGGCACUGCCAGAACUGGGCUGCCCUGGGCUUCCUGGAAACUAGCCCGUGGCUUCUGCAGAACGAGGCCAGCGAGGGUGGGGGUGUGGGGCAUGCCCAGGGGAGUUGCCUUCAUGCUCAUGCAGGUACAGGUGGGAGCAGGGCCCUGGGGACACUGGAGAGAGUCCAGCAGGGGGCUUUUUGUGGUCUGGCUCCGCGCGAGGGGCUGCUCUCAAGAAAUCUCAACAAUCCCCAAACGGAAUGAAACUGGAAGUCAUCUGACUCGGAAAGAAGUCUCUAGCCCACGCUAAUCAUUUGGUUAUCACACUUCUGGGGACUUGCCUGAAAAGUCCAGAAGACAGUGAAUUUGAGGGGAACACGUGCCCCUGUUUACUGCAGUUUGCUUACAAUAACCGAGACCUGGAAGCAACUGAAAUGUGCACCAACAGAUGACUGGAUAACGAAGACGUGAGGGACAUUGCCAUACAGUGGGUACUUCCACUCUUGAGGGGGCAAUGUCCCGACUUUAGCCCGUGUAGCUGAUAAUAAAUAAGAGUCCUGCCAGCUGCAUCAUCGGGACGGACCUAAAAGGGCAUGACACUGGCGAAAUGUCAGGAGCAGGACAGACACCUGUGAUUUCAUUCCUAAGUGGGGCAUAAGGAUCACAGCAAGAGAAUGAACUAAACAAAACAAAAGCAGCCUUUGAGAUGAUAAAGCCACUUUAGCGUUACCAGAAGGGAAGAGGCGAGUUAAAGGGUGGGUGGUCUGCAGGAGGACGGACGGGGACUCUUAGUGGGCACCUGAAUACAGUAUGUAUGGACAUGGAUAUAUAGUAAUGCACCCCCGAAACGUCUAUAUUGUAUGUAAUGCCAUUUAAUAAAAGUUCUAAUACAACAAAGUAAAAUGAUUUGAGCAAAAAAAAAUCAAGGAAGAAGACAAGUAUCCAAAGUUGGAGCACAACGCUGUCACUCAGCAAUUCUGUGUCACCCACUCUGUGAUUCCCAAGCACCCUUGGAUGAUGUAGGUGACCCCCCCAGUCUCCCUAAAGAUGAGACGGAAAAUUGAUGUAUCUCAGGACUGGCCAUUUGCACAGGCACCAGGGGACAGCAUGAAUGAGUGGACUCACUUGGUUUUGCUGUGUUCAGGGCUCCAGAAAGGGGUCCCUGGAUGCACACACCUCCUGGGACAGACUGGGUCCCAGAGGGCUUUGGGGCAGGUGGGGGGUCACCCAGACCUUUAAAGGAGCUAAUAUCCAACUCUCGCCUGCUUCUGCCAGGAAGAAAUAGUUGGCCGGAUCCUCAGCUUUUCCAAAGAAAUUGGAAAUUCAA
Long non-coding RNA from Condylura cristata (star-nosed mole), 1802 nucleotides. RefSeq lists it as uncharacterized. Lineage: Eukaryota; Metazoa; Chordata; Mammalia; Eulipotyphla; Talpidae. The record is from RefSeq and is a predicted model, not a curated record. The transcript is spliced from 3 exons.